Molecule: unclassified non-coding RNA, 249 nt
Filed under: Hevea brasiliensis (rubber tree)
Lineage: Eukaryota; Viridiplantae; Streptophyta; Magnoliopsida; Malpighiales; Euphorbiaceae
Source: RNAcentral
UUGCACCCGCCUUCUAGUUUCCAGCCUAUGAAAGGUGACCCACCAUGUGCCUCUCGGCAGAUUUCAUCAGAGAAAGCUGAUGAGAUAGUUGGUACAGCAAUGCUGACUCAACCAGGAGGCACCAUUCAGGAACUUCAAAUUCAGCACCUUACUAGCCAUUAUGAUCACCAUCAUCAUCUUCUCCACAACAUGCAACCACAACAGCAAUGGCUGCCAUCUGACCAUGAUGAUUUGUCAUUGAAGAAAAUG